RNAcentral lists this ribosomal RNA (215 nucleotides) under uncultured bacterium. Its description in RNAcentral is "partial 16S ribosomal RNA". It matches the Rfam family "Bacterial small subunit ribosomal RNA", at positions 363 to 573 of the family's 1533-position model. The record is from RNAcentral.
AUUGCCAUGGGGGAACCCUGAUGCAGCCAUGCCGCGUGUGUGAAGAAGGCCUUCGGGUUGUAAAGCACUUUCAGCGAGGAGGAAAGGUCAGUAGCUAAUACCUGCUGGCUGUGACGUUACUCGCAGAAGAAGCACCGGCUAACUCCGUGCCAGCAGCCGCGGUAAUACGGAGGGUGCAAGCGUUAAUCGGAAUUACUGGGCGUAAAGCGCACGCA